RNAcentral lists this ribosomal RNA (468 nucleotides) under uncultured bacterium. Its description in RNAcentral is "partial 16S ribosomal RNA". It matches the Rfam family "Bacterial small subunit ribosomal RNA", at positions 28 to 507 of the family's 1533-position model. The record is from RNAcentral.
GACGAACGCUGGCGGCGUGCUUAACACAUGCAAGUCGAACGGAAAGGCCCUUCUUGUGUGGUGUGCUCGAGUGGCGAACGUGUGUAUAACGCGUGUGUAACCUGCCUUUGACUUGGGUAUAACUUCGGGAAACUGGGGCUAAUACCAGAUGGGAGCUCCUGCUGCGUGGGGGGGGUUGGAGAGUUUCGGCGGUUGGGUAUGCACUCGCGGUUUAUCAGCUUGUUGGUGGGGGAGGGGCUUACCAAGGUUUUGACGGGUAGCCGGCCUGAGGGGGUGACCGGCAAAAUUGGGACUGAGAUAAGGCCCAGAUUCCUACGGGGGGAAGAAGUGGGGAAUAUUGAACAAUGGGCGGAAGCCUGAUCCAGAAACGCGGGGGGCGGGAUAAGGGCCUUAGGGUUGUAAACGGUUUCCGCCUGUGAGGAAGCGUGUGUGACGGUAAUGGGUAAAGAAGCACCGGCUAACUACGUG